GUUAAAAUAAAAAAAAAAAAAAAAAUUCAAAUUCAUUGUUGUGUCUUGAAAUCUCAAAACAGCUAACCGGAAUCCUCUUGAAGAAACGGAAGAAAGCCUAACCACCAUCUUGGUCUCCCUCAAAAUGGCCCCUACACCUUCUUCUUCUAAAUUAAACCAAACCCGAUCGAUCAAGACUCCACAAUCUAAACAUCGUCUCAAUUUUACUUCAGCAAGAACCCCAAAUCCACAUCCAUCUCCCAACCCAAACUCAACGGUCAAAGAAACCCCUCAAGGAGACCAUCCCAUUGAAGUUAUUGGUCGGAUUCGUGAUUAUCCUGACAGAAAAGAAAAACCCAGUUCAAUCUUGCCAGCAAAUCCAGAUAACCAGACUCUCCGUGUCCGUGCUGAUAUUGGGUAUAGAGAUUUUACUCUUGAUGGGAUUUCUUUCUCCGACGAAGAAGAUCUUGAUGCCUUUUACAAGAAGUUUGUGGAAUCUAGGAUUAAUGGGGUCAAAUUGGGGAACAAAUGCACCAUUAUGAUGUAUGGCCCAACAGGGUCGGGGAAGAGUCAUACCAUGUUCGGGUGCUCAAAGCAACCUGGGAUUGUAUAUCGAUCAUUAAAGGAUAUAUUGGGAGAGGGAGAAGAAUGGAGUGAAGGAAGUGAUGGGGGGAGAUUAAAGAUGGGCACAUUUGUGCAAGUUACCGUUUUGGAGAUAUACAAUGAGGAAAUUUAUGAUCUUUUGUCAAGUAAUGGUGGAGGCGGAUUUGGAAUUGGCUGGCCCAAAGGUGGAAAUGGAUCUAAGGUAAAGUUACCUUAAAUUUUGGAUUGGUGUCUCAAUGAUUAGUUUCAUAUAUGCACAUGUAUGAAAAUGUGUUGUUUGGUAUGUAGUUGUGUAAAUGAAUCUUUUCUCUUAUUAUAUAUUUUCUUAAAUGUGCUGUUGUUGGGACCUGGAAUUCCGUUUCAGUUUUGUUUGUCUAGGAGGAUAUGGCAAUUUUUAUGUUGGUAAAUUUUCCCUUAUCAUUAGGGUAUAUGAUCAUAUGCUACCGUUUAAAGAAAGAGUAUUUCUCUGGACAUUGAAGUUGCUUGUAAUUUUAUUUGCUUCACUAAAGCUGUAAGCUAUCGCUGUUUGAUUUCAAAGUAUGUCUAGGUUGAAUUCCAAUUGACCUUGAAGAAAGUAAGCCUGUUUUUUCAUCUGCUUCUUUGUGAUAUUAGAUUGAUAUAAAGUUCAGGGGUACCGUACACAAAUAUUAGAUUUGAUACAGUAAUUCUUUAUUUGAAGAAGUGGGGCAAUUCAUAAAUUCAUCAAUUCUAGGUUAGUGUUAUGUUUUAUUUUGAGGGAGUUCUGUGUGUGUAAUCUAAUUUGUAGGUAAGACUUGAAGUUAUGGGAAAAAAGGCCAAAAAUGCUACUUACAUAUCUGGGACUGAACCUGGAAAAAUUUCCAAGGAGAUUCAGAAAGUGGAGAAGCGAAGGAUUGUUAAGAGUACCCUCUGCAAUGACCGAAGUUCCAGGAGCCACUGCAUGAUAAUCCUGGAUGUCCCAACUGUGGGAGGACGGCUUAUGCUUGUUGAUAUGGCAGGCUCAGAAAACAUAGAACAAGCCGGGCAAAACACUUUUGAAACCAAGAUGCAGACAGCAAAAAUUAACCAAGGAAAUAUAGCGUUGAAGAGAGUGGUUGAAUCCAUUGCUAAUGGAGAUUCUCAUGUACCCUUUAGAGAUAGCAAGUUGACUAUGCUUCUCCAGGAUUCCUUUGAGGAUGAUAAGUCAAAAAUUUUGAUGAUAUUAUGCGCAAGUCCAGAUCCUAAGGAGAUACAUAAGACUAUCUGCACCCUUGAAUAUGGAGCAAAAGCAAAGUGUAUUGUUCGUGGUCCUUAUACUCCGAUUAAGGAUAAAGUUGGUACUGAUGAUUCUUCCGGUGUAAUCUUAGGAUCCAGGAUAGCAGCCAUGGACCAAUUUAUAUAUAAACUACAAAUGGAGAACAAGCAAAGAGAGAGAGAAAGAAAUGAGGCUCACAAACAGCUCCAAAAGAAAGAAGAAGAAGUUGCUGCACUGAGAGCACUUAUUGAAGGGAAGGGAUCUGCAGCAAGUGAAGAAGAGAUCAACUUGAAGGUGAAUGAGCGCACAAGGAUGUUGAAACUUGAGUUGGAAAAGAAGUUGGAGGAGUGUCAGAGAAUGACUGAAGAGUGUGUUGAAUUGGAGAGGAGGAGAAUGGAAGAAAGGAUACUGCAACAGCAGCAGGAAGUUGAAAUGCUGAGAAGGCGUUUGGAAGAAAUUGAAUUUGAGCUAUGCCAUGCCAGGGAUGAAUAUAAUGAAGAUAGGUCAAAAGACAUGGAUGAUGAAAGCAGCUUUGCCAGAAGGCUGUUGGGAGUUUAUGCUGAUGAGGAUCCGGGAAUGGUGAAAUCAAUGGAUUUGGACAUGGGUGAUCAACAAGCAUUUGUUCCUGAUGUGAAAUAUGUAGAUAUGGCUGUUCAAAAUUCUACCAGCAUUUGCAUCCAACGUUUGGCCAACUAUCCUCAUUUAAAUAACUUGAACCAGGUGGUUGAUCAAGAUGCUUUCGUGCCAAAAUAUGGUGGCAAAAUAUGUCUGAGCACUGUAUUUGAGGAAGAAGAGGUAGAAGAAGAGGAACAUAAAGAGAAAGUGGAAGAUGACGAAGUGGAGAAAGGAGUGAUAGAGGUAAAGAGGAUUGUUGGUGGGUCUAGCUCUGGAAUAGAUUUUGAUGCAGGCUCUAAAUUUGAGGCCCCUGACCCAUCUAGUGGAAAUUUGGGGCAAGAAAGUUGUUUGAAAGACGAAUCAGAGGGGAGGUGUCUGAGUUCAGGACCGCAAAACGAAUCUGAGAGCGUUGAUGCAGCCUCUUCAAGACGAUUAAGAAUCCAGAAUAUAUUUACACUUUGUGGGAACCACAGAGAGCUCUCUCAACAGAUCAGAACUCCAGCAGCGCCCGCAAAAAAGAUGUUUGAAGACAGUAAAGAAAAUUACAAUCCAUCGAAAGAAAGCAAUGAUGCACAAAUUGAUGUGCACGUGAAAUGGGAGGCAACUAAAGGAAAUAAUGGCAAGUUCAUUACAACACUCAAGGUUGUGAGGGAUGCAACACUUGCUGAUCUGCGAAAGCUGAUUGAAAUCCAUCUUGGUGCCGAUAAUCAAGCAUUUUCUUUUCUUGUGCUUGGGGAUCCUAAUGGAGCAACAAUUCCAAAGGAGAAGGAAUCAACAGUCCAGGCCAUCAAACUCCCCAUUUGCAACAACCAGUCACAUGGUCACCUUGCUUGCUUGCGACCAUUGAAUCAUCUCCCAUUAAGCCCUCUUCCAGUGACUCCCCUGGAAAACAAGCUCCCAUUGACUCCCCUGGAAAACAAACUACCACUGGAAAACAAGCUCCCAUUGACUCCCCUGGAAAACAAACUACCACUGGAAAACAAACUACCACUCACAUGUGAUGGUCUAUCACCCAAACUAGCUCAGCACCUAAAUUCUACACCUUUCAUUACUCUACGAAAACAUUAAUGAAUUAAGGCUGUGAAGUGCACCGAGUAUAUAUAUGCUUAUGUACUCUUUUUGUUUGUGGUUGAAAUGUGAAUUUGUUGAUAUGUGAAGUGACUUUGUAAAGUAAAACAUAGUAAGUAGUAAGUAAUGUUUGCAUCUUCA
RNAcentral lists this unclassified non-coding RNA (3619 nucleotides) under Hevea brasiliensis (rubber tree). Lineage: Eukaryota; Viridiplantae; Streptophyta; Magnoliopsida; Malpighiales; Euphorbiaceae. The record is from RNAcentral.